GACGAACGCUGGCGGCGUGCUUAACACAUGCAAGUCGAGCGAGGCCCCUCCUUCGGGAGGGUGUCCUAGCGGCGAACGGGUGAGUAACACGUGGGCAACCUGCCCUCAGCUCUGGGAUAACUCCGGGAAACCGGGGCUAAUACCGGAUACGACCUCCACGGGCAUCUGCGGAGGUGGAAAGUUUUUCGGCUGAGGAUGGGCCCGCGGCCUAUCAGCUAGUUGGUGGGGUAGUGGCCCACCAAGGCGACGACGGGUAGCCGGCCUGAGAGGGCGACCGGCCACCCUGGGACUGAGACACGGCCCAGACUCCUACGGGAGGCAGCAGUGGGGAAUAUUGCGCAAUGAGCGCAAGCCUGACGCAGCGACGCCGCGUGAGGGACGAAGGCCUUCGGGUUGUAAACCUCUUUCAGCAGGGACGAAGCGAAAGUGACGGUACCUGCAGAAGAAGCACCGGCCAACUACGUG
This 465-nucleotide ribosomal RNA is filed under the name uncultured bacterium. RNAcentral describes it as "partial 16S ribosomal RNA". It matches the Rfam family "Bacterial small subunit ribosomal RNA", at positions 28 to 507 of the family's 1533-position model. The record is from RNAcentral.